ACUGAACGCUGGCGGCAUGCCUUACACAUGCAAGUCGAACGGUAACAGGGAGCUUGCUCCGCUGACGAGUGGCGAACGGGUGAGUAAUGCAUCGGAACGUACCCAGUAGUGGGUGAUAACGCAGCGAAAGCUGUGCUAAUACCGCAUACGCACUGAGGUGGAAAGCAGGGGACCUUCGGUCCUUGUGCUAUUGGAGCGGCCGAUGGCAGAUUAGCUAGUUGGUGGGGUAAAAGCUCACCAAGGCGACGAUCUGGAGCUGGGCAGAGAGGAUGGUCAGCCACACUGGGACUGAGACACGGCCCAGACUCCUACGGGAGGCAGCAGUGGGGAAUUUUGGACAAUGGGGGCAACCCUGAUCCAGCCAUGCCGCGUGAGUGAAGAAGGCCUUCGGGUUGUAAAGCUCUUUCGGCCGGGAAGAAAUCGCCAUCUCUAACAUAGGUGGUGGAUGACGGUACCGGAAUAAGAAGCACCGGCUAACUACGUGCCAGCCGCCGCCGUAA
Molecule: ribosomal RNA, 500 nt
Filed under: uncultured bacterium
Lineage: Bacteria
Description: partial 16S ribosomal RNA
Rfam family: Bacterial small subunit ribosomal RNA
Source: RNAcentral